Molecule: unclassified non-coding RNA, 332 nt
Filed under: soil metagenome
Description: partial contains 5.8S ribosomal RNA, internal transcribed spacer 2, and large subunit ribosomal RNA
Rfam family: 5.8S ribosomal RNA (bases 1-120)
Source: RNAcentral
GAUGAAGAACGUAGCAAAAUGCGAUAAGUAAUGUGAAUUGCAGAAUUCAGUGAAUCAUCGAAUCUUUGAACGCACAUUGCGCCCGCCAGUAUUCUGGCGGGCUUGCCUGUUCGAGCGUCAUUUCAACCCUCAAGCACAGCUUGGUGUUGGGACUCGCGUUAAUUCGCGUUCCCCAAAUUGAUUGGCGGUCACGUCGAGCUUCCAUAGCGUAGUAGUAAAACCCUCGUUACUGGUAAUCGUCGCGGCCACGCCGUUAAACCCCAACUUCUGAAUGUUGACCUCGGAUCAGGUAGGAAUACCCGCUGAACUUAAGCAUAUCAAUAAGCGGAGGA